Cynara cardunculus var. scolymus (artichoke) is the source of this 106-nucleotide small nucleolar RNA. The record is from RefSeq and is a predicted model, not a curated record. NCBI's taxonomy places the organism in Eukaryota, Viridiplantae, Streptophyta, Magnoliopsida, Asterales, Asteraceae.
AUGCUACURUGUGAGCAUUUUCUCAGUAGCCCUUUGUACCUUUCCCAUGCAUCAUGAACUGCUUCAUCAUCCAUUUGUUCAAAAGUGCAAAUUUCAUUUCUGGAUU